GGUGACGCCAUCCACCGGACUCCGCUUGCGUCUCGGUGGUCCUUCGCGCGGAAUUGUGGGAAGGCCGAAGCGGAAGGCGAGCCGUUUCCAUAGCAACGAAGCUGAAGGAAAACGGAAAUAGUCCCAGCAGGAUCCUCUGAAGAUGUCAGUCACAGAUGCAGGUGAAACGUCAGGAGAAAAUGCUGCUAGAAUAUGGCCGUACAGCCUGGAAACCACACAACAUUCCAGAAAAUGGGAGAUUUACACUGCAGUGUUCAGAUGCGGCCACGCGAGGGAGCCUAUAGGUUAGAGUUCUGAACGACUACAAGGACCUGUCAAAAUAAUAUAUAUUUUAUAUAUAUAUAUAUAGUUAUUUUUAUUAAUAACUAUGAUUAUUAGAUUAUAUUUAUUUACACCUUUCUCUUUCUCUCUUAAAAGAGCCCCAGAGCCGCCAAGAACAUUUAUUAUUUUACAUUAUUAUUAUUAUUAUUAUUAUUAUUAAAAGGAUACAUAAGCACAUUUACAUUGAAGAAGUUGAGAAUAAUGAUUUAAUCAUUGUUGUUAUCUUAAAUGACAGUUUUAUGUAUUCAAAAUAUUCAAAAAUGUAAUUAUUAUCUAUGUUUAUUUCUGAGAUUUCGGCUUAUACUUGAGUCAAUGUUUUCCCAGCUUUUUGUGGUAAAAUUAGGUGCCUUGGCUUAUAGUCUAGUCGGCUUAUACUUGAGUAUAUACGGUACAUUAUAACUGUACCCUCAGUUCGCUUCUGAUACGAUAAAUAAAAUAACCUACAGGGCUUGGGAGAUCUGGACCAAACUUGGCACUUACUGUUAUUAUCAGUAGUUAUUAUCACCAUUAUUUCUAUCCCACUCUAUUCCUAUUAAAAAGAGACCCAACAAUAUAAGCAAUACAAUAUAUAAUGUAAAACCGUAAAACAUACAACCAUUUGAAUAGAACAUAUCCUUCACGAUCCAUCUUAAAAUUAUUGAGGGGUUUGAAGUAAAGGAAAAACAGAAACAAAAUAAAGGAAGGAGAAAAAAGAAAGAGUGAAGGAAGGAAGGGAGCAGGAGAAGAAAAAGGGAAGGAAGGGAAGAAAGAAGGGAAUGUACGCUCCUGUUUUAUAGCAGAUUUUCUAUUAUUAUUAUUAUUAUUAUUAUUAUUUACUACAUUUAUAUCCCGCUCUUCUCACCCCGAAGGGGACUCAGAGCGGCUUACAAAUCAAAUGUAUAUACAAUAUAUUAUUAGCAUAGCACAAUAUAAGCAUUAAGUUACUAUAUUGUACUAUAUCAUUAUAUGGUAAUAUUAUUGGUAAUAUUACAUUUAAUAUAUAAUAUAUAAUUAAUAUUAUUGUAUUGUGUUAGUAGUAGUGCAAUAUUGUAUUACAUUAUAAUAUUAUCAAUAUUAUAUGUAUAUACAAUAUAUUAUAUAUUUAUAAAUUAUUAUAAAUUAUAUAUAUAUGUAUAUAAACUUAGCAUAGCAUGUUGCUAUGGCACAGGAGACAAGAUGGAACUAUCUUCCUGACUCUCAGGUUGGUAUGAAGUGGGCAAGGUGGUAGUCCUUUGUGAUACUAUAAAUUUUUCUCAGGAGAAGGCGAUGAUUUACAAUAUCAUAUGCUGCUGACAGGUCUAUGAAGACAACAAGCCGGGGCCAGGCUGUGGUGCAGCUGGCUAGUAACCAGCUGCUAUAAAUCACUACUGACCGAGAGGUCAUGAGUUCGAAGCCCGGGUCGGGUUAAGCCUCCGACCAUUAAUAGCCCCGGCUUGCUGUUGACCUAUGCAGCCCCGAAAGACAGUUGCACCUGUCAAUUAGGGAAAUUUAGGUACGCUUUAUGCGGGAGGCUAAUUUACAACAUCAUAAAACUGCCAGCAAAACAUGAGGAAAGGAAUGAGGAAGUACAGCCACUUCUGGACGGUGAAGCAACAGCUCCCCCUGUGGCCGGAAUCGUGAAGCUGGAAAAAUGUUAAAAAUGCCUCUGAGUCUGUCUAAUGUAUGUUGUUUGUCUGUUGGCAUUGAAUGUUUGCCAUAUAUGUGUUCAUUGUAAUCCGCCCUGAGUCCCCUUCGGGGUGAGAAAGAAGGGCGGGAUAUAAAUACUGCAAAUAAAUAAAUAAAUAAAUACCCUUUAAAAGGCACCAUAUUGGGAAACGGGUCAUGAACACUCCUAAAAAGGGCACUAAAUAUUCUAAAAAGGGACUGAGCAAAGCAACUUUUGCAAAGCCAUUUAAUAGUAAUAAUAAAACAUCAAACCUUAGAUGAGUUCUCUAGAGUGUAUAAUCUUCAUCAGGGGAUAUUGUUCAAAACAACAAUGUUAUAAAAGAAAGACUUUAAAAAAAAGAAAAGAAAAUGUACUGUGCUGCAUAAAAAUGAUUCAUGUCAUUUCGUGGAGAAUUGCUGAGAUACAAACAAGGUAAUCUAUCUAAUACAAAGCCACAGUAAUGAAACAGGUUUCCACUUGCAAUAUGUACAAAGAUGACCCCAGAUAAUAGUAAUUUUAAAAUACUUAAAAUUUCAAUCUGUUUGGGGAAGCAAAGAUAAGGGAGAAAAGGAAUGUUUAAAAUUAAUGAUAAAGUAGGAAAUCGUUAUAUUUCAGGUAUAAAAAUGAGUGGAUUUUAAAAUAUUUUAUUUAUGUUGUAUAUGUAUCUUUCAGGUCAGCAACCGGUAUCAAUAUUUAUGUUGUUUUGUCCUGAAGUCAGCCGUUUAAUAAAACAAACAAAAUGGCAUUGGAUGAAACAAUCAAAACAGCAAUAUGAAAUCAUAAAAAAGUAUCAAGUAGGAUAAUGCAGCAUGAAAAGCCAAUAGGCAGAUUAUUCUGAGCAGCCUAACAGAGAAAUCUGAUGCAUAUCUAUUCAGAAUGGCCCCACUGAGCACACUGGGGCUUAUUCCCAAGUGAAUGGGCAUCUAACAACAAUCUUCUUUGUUUGCAGUAUUAUCCAUGGCAGAAACCUUGAAUCAGGCAGCAAUCAAAAACACAUAAUGAGAAUAAAAACAGGUUUGCUUUUCUACUUUACUAUCAUUUGAAGAGUCUGUAUUAAGCACUCAGCCAUUUUAACAUUCUUUAAGAGCAAUUCUUCAGCUCUUCCAAUGGCAGGUGACGGACUCUCCAACAUGUUUACUAUUGCUGAAAUUACUUGGAGAUUACAUUUGUAUUUUAACCGCUAUUCUUCAAGGGCUUGUUGUUAACAAAGCUACAGAGUUGGGUUUCUGGGAAUAAAUCCUGAUAACAAACCAAAUCCUCUUGGCACCGAAUUAGAAAGAACAUGUUUGUAUCACUUGCCAGGUCAGAAGGUGAUUUGGUUUGAAAGAAAUGGAUAAGCGGGUGGAUUUCCCCUUCCACUGAAACCAAUACAUACUUCUUUGUCUCUGCUGGGCUCUGUUUUGGGAAUGAAGAUCCAAAGUCUCACUUGAUCCAACACACUCCCAUUACAUCCACCAUAGUAAAAGCACUUCCAGUGAUAUUUCUGUGCUCAUUUUAGCCAGGGAUAAGUGCAGCCCUUAUCAACCAAGAGUGCAGUAAUUUCAUUAAAUGGCUGUUACUGGAGGCCCUUUAACUGCGGUGACUAUACUUUUUUACCAUCAUUAUUAUAUUUCAAUUGCUUUUCAGACUGUAGUAAAUUAAUGCUUUCAAUAUGAUUGUCAAGUAAAUUGUUUGAAAGUUGUCUUCUAUCUUGUUUUAAGUGUAUACAAACUAAUAUUUUAAACCACCUUAAGGAUAAAAGCAGAAUCUGUACACAUAAUAAAAGUGAAAAUAUGUAUGUACAGUAGAGUCUCACUUAUCCAAGCUAAACGGGCCAGCAGAAGCUUGGAUAAGCAAAUAUCUUGAAUAAUAAGGAGGGAUUAAGGAAAAGCCUAUUAAACAUCAAAUUAGGUUAUGAUUUUACAAAUUAAGCACCAAAACAUCAUGUUAGACAACAAAUUUGACAGAAAAAGUAGUUCAAUAGGCAGUAAUGUUAUGUUGUAAUUUAUUUACGAAUUUAGCACCAAAAUAUCACGAUAUAUUGAAAACGACUACAAAAAUGGCUUGGAUAAUCCAGAAGCUUGGAUAAGCGAGUCUUGGAUAAGUGAGACUCUACUGUAUUUGUGUAGCUGGGGUGUCCGCUUACACAGACAAGCUCCCGCUUCCACAAAUAACUAUAGCUCCCACUACUAAGGAGAUGCUAAUGCUCCUCCCUCCAGUGACAUUGCAGGUUAUAGUGAGCGCUGUAAACAUGUCCAAGUGUCGCACCUCAGGUUAGCUUCACCUUGCUAAAUACGCCAUGCUGUACACAGGUUUUUUGUAGUUUAUUAGGAAAUAGGAAAAUAAUAGUUCUUAAAAAGCAAAAGUAUAGUUCCAAAAGUUCGUUGCAAAACAAGGCUAUAAAGAAUAAUCCAAGAAAACGUUAGGCAUAAGACAAGGUUCCAUUUUUUUUUUCGUGUCAGGAGCAACCGGAGUUGCUUCUGGAGUGAGAGAAUUGGCCGUCUGCAAGGACGUUGCCCAGGGGACGCCCGGAUGUUUUGAUGUUUUUACCAUCCUUGUGGGAGGCUUCUCUCAUGUCCCCGCAUGGAGCUGGAGCUGAUAGAGGGAGCUCAUCCACACUCUCCCCAGGUGGGAUUCGAACCUGGCAGCUUUCAGGUCAGCAAACCAACCUUCAAGUCACUUAGUCCACUACGCCAUCUGGGGGCUCCAAGGUUCCAUUAAGGCAUGACAAAGACCCAUGAACAUGAAUACACCAAGGCUGCAAGAUAAUCCGGGAAAGCAAGAGCUGGCUUCUUGACUCAAAUGAGAAGUUGCUUUGACAAAGGUUCCUCUCUCAGCACACUGUUUUAAUACCCUUUGCACAGCAUGAAUGCAUUUCUUUGGCCUCUGGCCUCCCUCUUGUUUGCUAUUCCUGCGAAUCCUGAAUUCCAAACGGCCAGCCUGAUCCAAAGAUUCUGUUUCGUCAAGGCCAGACAGCUUGUUAGCAUUAGUGUCUGUCUGCAUGCUAUCAGACUGGGAGCUGUCCUCCCUUUGCACCUGGCUAGCUUCAGUAUCAUCUUCAAAAUCAUCAACACCUCCCUGCUCCUCAUCUGCCACAGCAGGAGCACUCUGAACCUGAAUCCCAUAAUCCCCAUCAGAGUCAUCUUGAACCUGAAUCUCAUCAUCUUGAACCUGAAUCCCAUAAUCCCAUAAUUUCAAAUAACUUGGGCAACACCGAGUACCCAAGCUAGUAGAAAAUAAAUGAAAAUAUGAAAGGAAGACACUCGCUAUCACAAUUUGCAUAGCCACACUAUCGCUGUGAUGGUGACUGCCUGGUACCACAUUGGCAUCCAGAUGGUCCAGCCCAGUUGAGACCCUAAUGAAGGUUGCUGCAUUGAAUCAUUUCAACACAUUGAUCCUACCAAUUCUGAUCUCUAACAGGAGCAGGUCUUUUGUAAAACUAGUAGAUCUUGCUCAUUCGAGGCAAAGCCACAGCAAAACAACAACGUUUGAUUACAGCAAGGAUGGCUAGCCGCAGUGUCUUGUGGUUUUGCAAAUCUGUUCCCGCAGCCACUGAGAAGAUUGCUGCAAAGCUCCGAAGGCGCAAGAUGAUGGGGAUGACAGAUGAUGGCAUCGUUCCCAUUAAUCAGAAUUACUGGCAGUUUGACCCCGACUGUCCUGGCUGUACUCCAUCACUAUUGCAAAGAGACGGAUGUUUCUCCAAAACCAUUCAGGCUGGUGGAGAUUGGUUGAUGGGCUGGAGGACUGCAAUCCAAGUGGCUUUAUUUUUCAUGUUCACAAGUGGAUGUGGGUGGACUUUGUAACGAUCCGUCUCUGCAUCACAUUUGGAAGAGCGGGCAGCUCUGAAGAGAUGAGAUCCAGGGUUAACUCUGAUCAACUGAGUUACACUUUUUCAAAAGAAAAGCUGCUCCGAAACUUCCUUGUCCUAAUACCGAAGUCUCUCUUUAUGUCUUUAAAAGGUAUCAUCAGAAUGUGGCCUAAGAGAAGUACAGAAUUAAGAGUCAAAAGGAUUCACCCACUGCUGAAUCGAAAAGUAUCCCAAAAUGACUGAUCAAGACCCCCAAAUUACUGCCAAAGUUGCUAGCUUUUGUGCAGCAGUGAUAGCUUGUCGGUGAAAGAUCUUGCCACAGUUUUAGAAGGUUUUAAUAUUUACUUCAGCAUUUACCUUUGUCAUUUUAGCAUAUAAAUGUUUUAUAUCGUUUUAACUACCACAUUCAAUACUGUGUUUUAACCUUGUUCUUCACUGUGUUUCUUAGUAUCUAAUUGCAUACGUUUCUACGCUAUUCUGAUGCUUGUACAUUUUCUGUUGCUGGUCAUCGACUGUAAUAAAUAGAUAUAUAUA
Long non-coding RNA from Anolis carolinensis (green anole), 6266 nucleotides. RefSeq lists it as uncharacterized. The record is from RefSeq and is a predicted model, not a curated record. The transcript is spliced from 2 exons. Lineage: Eukaryota; Metazoa; Chordata; Lepidosauria; Squamata; Anolidae.